GGCAACCGGCUCAGGUCCCCUUCUAUUGUGGAAGCUUUGUUCUUUCUCUCUUUGCAAUAAAUCCUGCUGCUGCUCACUCUUUGGGUCCACACUGCCUUUAUGAGCCGUAACAGGUCUGCAGUUUCACUCCUGAGCCGGCGAGACCACGAACCCACCAGAAGGAAAAAACUCCGAACACAUCCGAACAUCAGAAGGAACAAACUCCAGACGCGCCACUUUAAGAGCUGUAACACUCACCGCGAGGGUCCGUGGCUUCAUUCUUGAAGUCAGUGAGACCAAGAACCCACCAAUUCCGGACACAUUGGGAACUUAGAGCAGUGCUUGGGACAUGGUUAUCAGCGUCAGAUAUUUCCUUAAACUAGCGUGAAGUCGACUUUAACCUUCCAGCAGUGUGAGUGAGGGCCCUGACCCUAGAAUCAACGCCCAAAGAGCUGUGGCGCUACAGCGGGCGGGGACAUGGGGUGCGCAUGCGUGCGGGGGGGUACGCGUGCGUGCAAGUGCGCGUGCGCGCGCAGGACCGCUGAGGCGGGAGCCCCGAAUGCGGUUCUCGCUUGCUGCGUGGCGGUAAAGGACCGCAGGUGUCGUAAAAGGGCCGCAGUGGCAGCGUCCUGGCCGACGGCUAGUAGCCCAUUUUGGAUACCGUCCUCGCUGCGGAAAGUUGGGGCAACCUGUUGCUAGUCUGGUCGUUGGUGACAGCGAGGCUUCCGCGCUCGCUGCUGGUGAGCAGCCCCGGCGUGCCCCGCGGGCUGGAAGAGGCGGCGGCGUGAUGCGGCCCGUGGACGCGGACGAGGCGCGGGAGCCCCGCGAGGAGCCGGGCAGCCCGCUGAGCCCCGCGCCCCGCGCCGGCCGCGAGAACCUGGCCUCCCUGGAGCGCGAGCGCGCCCGGGCGCACUGGCGGGCCCGCAGGAAGCUGCUGGAGAUCCAGAGCCUGCUCGACGCCAUCAAGAGUGAGGUGGAGGCAGAGGAGCGGGGCGCCCGGGCCCCAGCACCCCGCCCGCGUGCGGAGGCUGAGGAGCGGGUGGCUCGGCUGUGCGCCGAAGCAGAGAGGAAGGCUGCGGAGGCGGCGCGGAUGGGCAGGCGGAUCGUGGAGCUGCACCAGCGGAUCGCCGGCUGCGAGUGCUGCUGAGCCGGCGAGGCCGCGCGGGUCUGGAGCGGAGCGCGGCGGGGAGUGUCCCGCGUGGAAGGCGCUGGGUAGGCAGGGAGGGGAGCGCAGAGCCGUGCCACGCUCUCCGCGGAGUUGGUUUCAUUCUUUUUUCAUAGAUUUGAUAUGUUGUUGUAAAGAGUCAUGACCACUGGAAGUAUUUUCAGGACGUAGACCUGGUGGGUCACUACGUGGGGGGAGAGAGGUGUGAAGCGGAGGUACAUGCUGGAAACGUGUGAAUGUUGUUACGAGAUUGGAGCGUUUGCGAUGACCUUCCUGCAGGUGGAAGCAUUGUGCACAGGUGGUUGGGUUUGUUUGACUCCCGGAUAUGAGAAUAUCAAGCUCAAAAUUUAUGUUGUGAUGAUGAAUUUCUCCCACUUGUACUUUAGGUGGCCAACUGACGAACUGUGUUCACCUGAUAAGGAGUCGUGGCUGCUUGGACAGGCUCAAACCAAGAGAGCCUUUCGUUUUGUCUCCCCUGUUUUUCUGCCUGCGUUUUCUCCACAUUAGCCACUCAAUUUCCAGUACCAUCCUGGCGGAUGACUUCAGCAUUAGAUGGUCAGGUGUAUUUUUUUAUUAAUAGGCGCAUUCAGUUUGGAAAAGACAGCUUUUCAUUAAUGUCCCACGUAAAGGAAUAUGGCCUAUACAGUACGUACGCUGCUGCGUGGUCAUAUUUGUUCCUGUGAUCUUAUUGUAUUUUCAAAGUUUGGAAGUAUACUCGUGUGCUUUGCUGUUUUUUUAUGCUUCCUGGAAUUUGGGGACUCAUGAGAGACUUGAGGUUAGAGUUCUGCAAGUGAGAAGACACUACAUGGUUGCAGCUGCCACAUGAAGAACCCAAGCUCCUGUCAAAGUUGUGAAUGCGACUUUGGAUGAGAUUAAGAAGGCCCAGUGGACGGUUGGUCUUGAAGAGUGGCAGUGUGUGGAUUUGAGGACCUCUGCAGACCAUCAGAUCAAAGGAGGGAGAGCUGUUUUGGGUGUUUUGUUUUUUUUGUUUUUAUAGCAUUUUGCUUUUUCUUGGAAUGUAAUUUUCCUAUGGCAUGUUAACUGGUGCACAUCGUGUAACCUGUCUGGUGAGCAACCUACAAUUGGGAUGAGUUCUAGGUACAUGUGUUUGCUGACUUUGGGGUAAACAACUUUGUUAUAAUACAGUCUCUGCCACAGAUGCAUGUGACCUCUUCAGGGGCCCAGAGUGGCUGAGGAAGGAAAGCUUCAAGCUGGCCAUGGGGGUCCCAAACAGUCAUUCCAGGCUUAGAUGAUGACUAGCCUAGGUCAUCAGAGCCCAGACUCCACAGAGACUAAAAUCAGAGCUCUGUCUUGUUAUGAUAAAUUUCAUUUGCUUGGAAAAAGAAAUGCUGAAAGCCAGUGUUUAGAAUCUUUGUGCAGAUGACCAAAGCAAUUGACUUGGCCAAGAAAAGGUAAGGUAAAUAAACAUUUUUCAAAAUGAGUUUCUCCUUGAUAGUGGUCACUGUCAAAUGGAGGAGAAUUGCUUCUGACUCACGAGUUGUUCAAAGCCUGUAGCCCAGGGUGGGGUUUGAGCUGCAGAAGAAGAAGAAGGCAGACCUAGAGUAGGAAAGGGGUGCCUCAUGAAGCCAUAUGGUCUGGCCCCAGCCUUUGGAGAGGUGAAGUCCAUUCAGGCAGCUAGUGUUCACUGUGACCACAGAGCUCCACACUAUGCCAGGCACUAGGAAUUUCUUGGAGAGACGAUCUAGUGGGUUGAGACAGGUCUGAAAACACAAUUACAGUACAGUGUCCGCAAUGCUGGUCUUUGAUUCAACGCAUAAAUUGAGCACCUACAGAUGCUGAGACUACCUGAGUGAACAAAGUGCUUGUAAAAUUGGAUCUGAGGGCCAGGCAUGGUAGCUCAUGCCUGUAAUCCCAUUUCUUUAGGAGGCCUGAGCAGGAGGAUUGCUUGAGGCCAGGAGUUUGAGAUCAGCCUGGG
Molecule: long non-coding RNA, 3080 nt
Filed under: Homo sapiens (human)
Lineage: Eukaryota; Metazoa; Chordata; Mammalia; Primates; Hominidae
Description: HSALNT0318051
Source: RNAcentral